UGGUCCGAUCUCGAAGUUUCUUGCCCACAAAAGCCGAACGGUGACGCCCCAGACUCGGUUUCUUGGUUCCGUCCCAAAACGCCAAAGAAAGGCACAAUGGCCUAGAAAGGGACGAUCGGACUUGGAACGGGGUCCGAGGCCUCGAAAGUCCACAUCUAGCUACUGGGUGGUCCGAUGUCGAAGUUUCUUGCCCACAAAAUCCGAACGGUGACGCCCCAGACUCGGUUUCUUGGUUCCAUCCAAAAACGCCGAAGAAAGGCACAAUGGCCUAGAAAGGGACGAACUGACUUGGAACGAGGUUCGAGGCCUCGAAAGUCGACAUCUAGCUACUGGGUGGUCCGAUCUCGAAGUUUCUUGCCCACAAAAACCGAACGGUAACGCCUAGACUCGGUUUCUUGGUUCCGUCCCAAAACGCCGAAGAAAUGCACAAUGGCCUAGGAAGGGACGACCGGACUUGGAACGGGUCCGAGGCCUCGAAAGUCCACAUCUAGCUACUGGGUGGUCCGGUCUCGAAGUUUCUUGCCCACAAAAGCCGAACGGUGACGUCCCAGACUCGGUUCCUUCGUUCCGUGCCAGAACGCUGAAGAAAGACACAGUGGCCUAGAAAGGGACGACCGAACUUGGAACGGGGUCCAAGGCGUCAAAAGUCCACAUCUAGCUACUGGGUGGUCCGAUCUCGAAGUUUCUUGCCCACAAAAGCCGAACGGUGACGCCCUAGACUCGGUUCCUUGGUUCCGUCCCAAAACGCCGAAGAAAGGCACAAUGGCCUAGAAAGGGACGAUCGGACUUGGAACGGGGUCCGAGGCCUCGAAAGUCCACAUCUAGCUACUGGGUGGUCCGAUGUCGAAGUUUCUUGCCCACAAAACCCGAACGGUGACGCCCCAGACUCGGUUUCUUGGUUCCGUCCCAAAACGCAGAAGAAAGGCACAAUGGCCUAGAAAGGGACGACCGGACUUGGAACGGGGUCCGAGGCCUCGAAAGUCCACAUCUAGCUACUGGGUGGUCCGAUCUCGAAGUUUCUUGCCCACAAAAGCCGAACGGUGACGCCCCAGACUGGGUUUCUUCGUUUCGU
This 1072-nucleotide long non-coding RNA is filed under the name Cucumis sativus (cucumber). RNAcentral describes it as "long non-coding RNA (CSAT_LNC003054)". The record is from RNAcentral. Lineage: Eukaryota; Viridiplantae; Streptophyta; Magnoliopsida; Cucurbitales; Cucurbitaceae.